UGGGGAAUAUUGCACAAUGGGCGAAAGCCUGAUGCAGCAACGCCGCGUGAGUGAUGAAGGUUUUCGGAUCGUAAAACUCUGUCCUCAAGGAAGAUAAUGACGGUACUUGAGGAGGAAGCCCCGGCUAACUACGUGCCAGCAGCCGCGGUAAUACGUAGGGGGCUAGCGUUAUCCGGAUUUACUGGGCGUAAAGGGUGCGUAGGCGGUCUUUCAAGUCAGAAGUUAAAUUCUACGGCUCAACCGUAGCCAGCUUUUGAAACUGGAAGACUUGAGUGCAGGAGAGGAGAGUAGAAUUCCUAGUGUAGCGGUGAAAUGCGUAGAUAUUAGGAGGAAUACCAGUAGCGAAGGCGGCUCUCUGGACUGUAACUGACGCUGAGGCACGAAAGCGUUGGGAGCGAACAGG
This 403-nucleotide ribosomal RNA is filed under the name Bacillota bacterium. RNAcentral describes it as "Firmicutes bacterium partial 16S ribosomal RNA". It matches the Rfam family "Bacterial small subunit ribosomal RNA", at positions 355 to 776 of the family's 1533-position model. The record is from RNAcentral. Lineage: Bacteria; Bacillati; Bacillota.